AGUGAACGCUGGCGGUAGGCCUAACACAUGCAAGUCGAACGGCAGCACAGUAAGAGCUUGCUCUUACGGGUGGCGAGUGGCGGACGGGUGAGGAAUACAUCGGAAUCUACUUUUUCGUGGGGGAUAACGUAGGGAAACUUACGCUAAUACCGCAUACGACCUACGGGUGAAAGCAGGGGAUCUUCGGACCUUGCGCGACUGAAUGAGCCGAUGUCGGAUUAGCUAGUUGGCGGGGUAAAGGCCCACCAAGGCGACGAUCCGUAGCUGGUCUGAGAGGAUGAUCAGCCACACUGGAACUGAGACACGGUCCAGACUCCUACGGGAGGCAGCAGUGGGGAAUAUUGGACAAUGGGCGCAAGCCUGAUCCAGCUAUACCGCGUGGGUGAAGAAGGCCUUCGGGUUGUAAAGCCCUUUUGUUGGGAAAGAAAAGCAGCAGGUUAAUACCCCGCUGUUCUGACGGUACCCAAAGAAUAAGCACCGGCUAACUUCGUG
This 492-nucleotide ribosomal RNA is filed under the name uncultured bacterium. RNAcentral's name for it is "partial 16S ribosomal RNA". It matches the Rfam family "Bacterial small subunit ribosomal RNA", at positions 29 to 507 of the family's 1533-position model. The record is from RNAcentral.